This 106-nucleotide transfer RNA is filed under the name Cervus elaphus hippelaphus. It matches the Rfam family "tRNA". Rfam says of the family: Transfer RNA (tRNA) molecules are approximately 80 nucleotides in length. Their secondary structure includes four short double-helical elements and three loops (D, anti-codon, and T loops). Further hydrogen bonds mediate the characteristic L-shaped molecular structure. tRNAs have two regions of fundamental functional importance: the anti-codon, which is responsible for specific mRNA codon recognition, and the 3' end, to which the tRNAs corresponding amino acid is attached (by aminoacyl-tRNA synthetases). tRNAs cope with the degeneracy of the genetic code in two manners: having more than one tRNA (with a specific anti-codon) for a particular amino acid; and 'wobble' base-pairing, i.e. permitting non-standard base-pairing at the 3rd anti-codon position. The record is from Rfam by way of RNAcentral. Lineage: Eukaryota; Metazoa; Chordata; Mammalia; Artiodactyla; Cervidae.
GUCAGGAUGGCCGAGUGGUCUAAGGCGCCAGACUCAAGGUGUAUACCUUUCCCGAGGGCAUUCUGGUCUCCGAAUGGAGGCGUGGGUUCGAAUCCCACUUCUGACA